UCGGUUCCGGUUCACGCCGCGGGGCGCAUCCAGCCCCUCAGCAAAGAUGGCGACCCGGUGCC
RNAcentral lists this non-coding RNA (62 nucleotides) under unclassified sequences. Its description in RNAcentral is "L31-Actinobacteria ribosomal protein leader". It matches the Rfam family "L31-Actinobacteria ribosomal protein leader". The record is from RNAcentral.